Molecule: ribosomal RNA, 487 nt
Filed under: uncultured Weissella sp.
Lineage: Bacteria; Bacillati; Bacillota; Bacilli; Lactobacillales; Lactobacillaceae
Description: bacterial SSU rRNA
Rfam family: Bacterial small subunit ribosomal RNA
Source: RNAcentral
GAUGAACGCUGGCGGCGUGCCUAAUACAUGCAAGUCGAACGCCUUGUGGUUCAACUGAUUUGAAGAGCUUGCUCAGAUAAGACGUUGAACAUUGCAAGGAGUGGCGAACGGGUGAGUAACACGUGGGAAACCUACCUCUUAGCGGGGGAUAACAUCUGGAAACAGAUGCUAAUACCGCAUAACACUUAUGACCGCAUGGUCAAGAGUUGAAAGAUGGUUCUGCUAUCACUAAGAGAUGGUCCCGCGGUGCAUUAGUUAGUUGGUAAGGUAAUGGCUUACCAAGACGAUGAUGCAUAGCCGAGUUGAGAGACUGAUCGGCCACAAUGGGACUGAGACACGGCCCAUACUCCUACGGGAGGCAGCAGUAGGGAAUCUUCCACAAUGGACGAAAGUCUGAUGGAGCAACGCCGCGUGUGUGAUGAAGGGUUUCGGCUCGUAAAACACUGUUGUAAGAGAAGAACGACACCGAGAGUAACUGUUCGGUGAG